AGUGAACGCUGGCGGCAGGCCUAACACAUGCAAGUCGAACGGCAGCACAGCAGUAGCAAUACUGUGGGUGGCGAGUGGCGGACGGGUGAGGAAUACAUCGGAAUCUGCCUAGUCGUGGGGGAUAACGUAGGGAAACUUACGCUAAUACCGCAUACGACCUACGGGUGAAAGCGGGGGAUCGCAAGACCUCGCGCGAUUAGAUGAGCCGAUGUCCGAUUAGCUAGUUGGCGGGGUAAUGGCCCACCAAGGCGACGAUCGGGUAGCUGGUCUGAGAGGAUGAUCAGCCACACUGGAACUGAGACACGGUCCAGACUCCUACGGGAGGCAGCAGUGGGGAAUAUUGGACAAUGGGCGAAAGCCUGAUCCAGCCAUUCCGCGUGAGUGAAGAAGGCC
RNAcentral lists this ribosomal RNA (393 nucleotides) under uncultured bacterium. Its description in RNAcentral is "bacterial SSU rRNA". It matches the Rfam family "Bacterial small subunit ribosomal RNA", at positions 29 to 416 of the family's 1533-position model. The record is from RNAcentral.